AGGUUAAGUUAACAAGGGCGCAUGGUGAAUGCCUUGGCACUAGGAGCCGAUGAAGGACGGGACUAACACCGAUAUGCUUCGGGGAGCUGUACGUAAGCUAUGAUCCGGAGAUUUCCGAAUGGGGCAACCCAGCAGUUUUAAUCAACUGUUACCACUAGAUGAAUUCAUAGUCUAGUUGGAGGUAAACGCUGUGAACUGAAACAUCUCAUUAGCAGCAGGAAUAUAAAGAAAUUUCGAUUCCCUAAGUAGCGGCGAGCGAACGGGGAACAGCCCAAACCAAAGUGCUUGCACUUUGGGGUUGUAGGACUGAACAUUUGAGUUACCAAAGAACUUGAUAGUCGAAGGAUUUGGAAAAAUCCGCCAUAGAUGGUGAUAGCCCAGUAGAUUAAAUCAAAUUCUCUCAGUUCAGGAUCCUGAGUACGGCGGAACACGUGAAAUUCCGUCGGAAUCCGGGAGGACCAUCUCCCAAGGCUAAAUACUACCUAGUGACCGAUAGUGAACCAGUACCGUGAGGGAAAGGUGAAAAGCACCCCGGGAGGGGAGUGAAAUAGUUCCUGAAACCAUGUGCCUACAAUAAGUCAGAGCGCGUUAAUGCGUGAUGGCGUGCCUUUUGUAGAAUGAACCGGCGAGUUAUGAUCCCGUGCAAGGUUAAGACUAAAAAGUCGGAGCCGUAGCGAAAGCGAGUCUGAAAUGGGCGUUUUGAGUACGAGGUUAUAGACCCGAAACCAGGUGACCUAUCCAUGUCCAGGUUGAAGGUGCGGUAAAACGCACUGGAGGACCGAACCCGUGUAAGUUGAAAAUUGCUGGGAUGAGGUGUGGAUAGCGGUGAAAUUCCAAACGAACUUGGAGAUAGCUGGUUCUCUCCGAAAUAGCUUUAGGGCUAGCCUCGGAAUUAGGAUCAUGGAGGUAGAGCACUAUUUGGACUAGGGGCCCGUCUUGGGUUACUGAAUUCAGAUAAACUCCGAAUGCCAUUGAUUCAUAUCCGGGAGUCAGACGAUGAGUGAUAAGAUCCACCGUCGAAAGGGGAACAGCCCAGACCAUCAGUUAAGGUCCCUAAAUGUAUGCUAAGUGGAAAAGGAUGUGGAGUUGCAUAGACAACUAGGAUGUUGGCUCAGAAGCAGCCACCAUUUAAAGAGUGCGUAAUAGCUCACUAGUCGAGUGAUCCUGCGCCGAAAAUGUACCGGGGCUAAGCAUACUACCGAAACCAUGGAUGCGACCAUUAGGUCGCGUGAUAGGAGAGCGUUCUAAGGGCGGUGAAGCAAGAUCGUGAGGACUUGUGGAGCGCUUAGAAGUGAGAAUGCCGGUAUGAGUAGCGAAAGAUAGGUGAGAAUCCUAUCCACCGAAUGACUAAGGUUUCCUGGGGAAGGCUCGUCCUCCCAGGGUUAGUCGGGACCUAAGUCGAGGCCGAGAGGCGUAGACGAUGGAUAACAGGUUGAGAUUCCUGUACUAGUUAAGUGCGUUUGAGCAAUGGAGGGACGCAGGAGGCUAAGAUGUGCAUUCUGUUGGAUUAGAAUGUCCAAGCAGUAAGUCUUGUGAAGAGUCAAAUGCUUUUCACUUUAAGGACAAGCUGUGAUGGGGAGCGAAAUUUAGUAGCGAAGCGUCUGAUGUCACACUGCCGAGAAAAGCUUCUAGUGAGUACUUAACUACCCGUACCGCAAACCGACACAGGUAGUCGAGGAGAGAAUCCUAAGGUGAGCGAGUGAACUCUCGUUAAGGAACUCGGCAAAAUGACCCCGUAACUUCGGGAGAAGGGGUGCUGAUCGCAAGAUCAGCCGCAGUGAAUAGGCCCAGGCGACUGUUUAUCAAAAACACAGGUCUCUGCAAAAUCGUAAGAUGACGUAUAGGGGCUGACGCCUGCCCGGUGCUGGAAGGUUAAAAGGAUGGGUUAGCUUCGGCGAAGCUCAGAAUUGAAGCCCCAGUAAACGGCGGCCGUAACUAUAACGGUCCUAAGGUAGCGAAAUUCCUUGUCGGGUAAGUUCCGACCCGCACGAAAGGCGUAACGAUCUGGGCACUGUCUCAACGAGAGACUCGGUGAAAUUAUAUUGUCCGUGAAGAUGCGGACUACCCGCGACAGGACGGAAAGACCCCAUGGAGCUUUACUGUAGCUUGAUAUUGAGUGUUUGUACAGCUUGUACAGGAUAGGUAGGAGCCAUAGAAACCGGAACGCUAGUUUCGGUGGAGGCGUUGGUGGGAUACUACCCUCGCUGUAUGACCACUCUAACCCGCACCACUAAUCGUGGUGGGAGACAGUGUCAGGUGGGCAGUUUGACUGGGGCGGUCGCCUCCUAAAAAGUAACGGAGGCGCCCAAAGGUUCCCUCAGAAUGGUUGGAAAUCAUUCGCAGAGUGUAAAGGCACAAGGGAGCUUGACUGCGAGACAGACAGGUCGAGCAGGGACGAAAGUCGGGCUUAGUGAUCCGGUGGUACCGUAUGGAAGGGCCAUCGCUCAACGGAUAAAAGCUACCCUGGGGAUAACAGGCUUAUCUCCCCAAGAGUCCACAUCGACGGGGAGGUUUGGCACCUCGAUGUCGGCUCAUCGCAUCCUGGGGCUGUAGUCGGUCCCAAGGGUUGGGCUGUUCGCCCAUUAAAGCGGUACGCGAGCUGGGUUCAGAACGUCGUGAGACAGUUCGGUCCCUAUCCGUCGCGGGCGUAGGAAAUUUGAGAGGACCUGUCCUUAGUACGAGAGGACCGGGAUGGACAUACCUCUGGUGUACCAGUUGUGCCGCCAGGCGCAUCGCUGGGUAGCUACGUAUGGAUGUGAUAAACGCUGAAAGCAUCUAAGUGUGAAACACACCUCGAGAUGAGAUUUCCCAUUCCUUUAUGGAAGUAAGACCCCUGAAAGAUGAUCAGGUAGAUAGGUUAGAAGUGGCAGUGCGGUGACGCAUGAAGCGGACUAAUACUAAUCGGUCGAGGACUUAACCAAG
This 2922-nucleotide ribosomal RNA is filed under the name Lactiplantibacillus plantarum. RNAcentral's name for it is "Lactobacillus plantarum 23S ribosomal RNA". It matches the Rfam family "Bacterial large subunit ribosomal RNA". Lineage: Bacteria; Bacillati; Bacillota; Bacilli; Lactobacillales; Lactobacillaceae. The record is from RNAcentral.